RNAcentral lists this ribosomal RNA (468 nucleotides) under uncultured bacterium. Its description in RNAcentral is "partial 16S ribosomal RNA". It matches the Rfam family "Bacterial small subunit ribosomal RNA", at positions 28 to 507 of the family's 1533-position model. The record is from RNAcentral.
GACGAACGCUGGCGGCGUGCUUAAUACAUGCAAGUCGAACGGAAAGGCCCUGCUUUUGUGGGGUGCUCGAGUGGCGAACGGGUGAGUAACACGUGAGUAACCUGCCCUUGACUUUGGGAUAACUUCAGGAAACUGGGGCUAAUACCGGAUAGGAGCUCCUGCUGCAUGGUGGGGGUUGGAAAGUUUCGGCGGUUGGGGAUGGACUCGCGGCUUAUCAGCUUGUUGGUGGGGUAGUGGCUUACCAAGGCUUUGACGGGUAGCCGGCCUGAGAGGGUGACCGGCCACAUUGGGACUGAGAUACGGCCCAGACUCCUACGGGAGGCAGCAGUGGGGAAUAUUGCACAAUGGGCGGAAGCCUGAUGCAGCAACGCCGCGUGCGGGAUGACGGCCUUCGGGUUGUAAACCGCUUUCGCCUGCGACGAAGCGUGAGUGACGGUAAUGGGUAAAGAAGCACCGGCUAACUACGUG